UCACUGUCAGUCUGGAAAGUAAAAGCUGAGGACUCCAUGGGUUUUAUAGUUGAGAACUUUCCAACAUGGCUUACGCAGCAAACAGAAAUGUGAGGUUAAACCUGUUUGUAUCAUGGUUAUUGUUCAUAACCAGAAAUAUAUGAGAUACUCCUUCUAAUGAUUUUACUCCAGUAAGCCAAAACAAAUUAAAAUCGAUAUCUUCAUCAGAAAGUCUGUUUGUUUCAAAUAUGGAUGAAAUGUUUCACUUUAAAUUAGAGCCCUUUCUUCCAGCUUCAUAAAUAACACUGCUUUAUAUUCCAUUGGCAAGGAAAAUCUGGCUACAAGGCUGGCAAAGCUUUCCUUCCUGUUCCGAAGUGAAAAAACCUUACUCAGCUCAAGCCAAGGGUUUAUUGAGAGGAAGGGGAGGAUGCAGCUUUUAAAUAUAAACAGAAAUUGCCAGUUCUCAUGCUUCCUGGGAGUCUUGUAGAAAUCUGUGUUCAGAAAGUAAAUAUUCUGGUGCCAAGUAUUACACGGACGUUUAAUGAUCUAAGCAGCCAUUCACAAUGAUGAGCUGGGGAAGAAAUGCAGGAAAAGAAGUUGCAGGUGGUGUUUGAUCCUUCUUGAAAGGAUGAGACACAUGUCCCCUCUUCAAUGGAGUAUCUGCAACUUCUGCUGCUGCUGUUGCACCUGCUGAAGUCUUCCCUUGCAUGUCUCCUUAUUCUGCAAGAUCUUGAGGAAGCCAGGCAUUGAUGAGGAGGUUUGCUUGAAACAGCCAGAUCUCCACGUUUUAGUGGCCUCUUAAAAUAAAUAAAUUAAACCUUCAUUUGUCUAAUCCAAAACAUAUGUUUCCCUAUAGGAAUUAUUUCUUUUCAGAAUUUAUCCUUCUUUUCUUAGCUCAAAGGGAAAAGCAAAUGUCACUCAAGCCCAAAAGGAUUUGCCCACAUCACAGAUCUAUUGUUGAAAGUACAUCAGAACUUCUCAAUGAUAAAAUGCCAGAAAUGGAGGCACUGAGAUGAAAUAUGGAUAUGCGAGUGUGGUUUUGUCUCUUUGUGCCUGUAGGUUUUUUCCAAUAAAUAAAAAUGUCAACAACAAAAAAGUAUGUGUUUGAUUGGAGAAAUACGUUCUUUUUAAACUUUUAAAGAAGCAGUAGUGCAUUUUAAGAUU
This is a long non-coding RNA of Gavia stellata (red-throated loon), 1143 nucleotides long. RefSeq lists it as uncharacterized. The transcript has 4 exons. NCBI's taxonomy places the organism in Eukaryota, Metazoa, Chordata, Aves, Gaviiformes, Gaviidae. The record is from RefSeq and is a predicted model, not a curated record.